This is a long non-coding RNA of Cavia porcellus (domestic guinea pig), 513 nucleotides long. RefSeq lists it as uncharacterized. The record is from RefSeq and is a predicted model, not a curated record. The transcript has 2 exons. Lineage: Eukaryota; Metazoa; Chordata; Mammalia; Rodentia; Caviidae.
UUGUUUUUCCAGUCUGACAUACGUGCAUUUACCAGUGAAGUUGUCCUGGCUAAAACACCUGCCAGCAGCGUCUACCUGGGCAUCAACCUUCAUCCCAUCGACUCCCCUAGGCUCCAGUACAGUGCCCUUUGCCAGCAGGAAGUAGUUAAAGAGAGAAAUCUUCGCCCCUUUUCAUAAUAAUAACCAUAAGACGGGAUAUGAAAGGUUUGGCCCAGACAGGACACUGUAGCCAGGAAAGCCACAACCGGAAGCAGGAAGCCCCAUCUUGCCCUGCCCCUAGGAAGUUACCUGUGACGCCAUCUUCCCGCCCCUGGGAAUUUACAUAUGGCGCCAAACCUAGGACCAAUGGGCUACCUAUGUAUCCCUAAUGCCCGCCUUAGGUUCCACCCCAAACCGAGGCUAUUUACAGGCCCCCACGCCGCGUGUCCGCCGGAGAGAUCGCCGGACGCCAGCGGUGGGGGUUGCCGGUCAUCUCUCUCCGUGUUCUCAGAAUAAAGGCCGCUUUUUAUUUUA